Molecule: ribosomal RNA, 253 nt
Filed under: uncultured bacterium
Lineage: Bacteria
Description: partial 16S ribosomal RNA
Rfam family: Bacterial small subunit ribosomal RNA
Source: RNAcentral
UACGUAGGGACCGAGCGUUGUCCGGAUUCAUUGGGCGUAAAGAGCUCGUAGGCGGCUGCUCAAGUCGAAUGUGAAAACUCGAGGCUCAACCUCGAGCCUGCAUUCGAUACUGGGCGGCUAGAGUCUGGUAGGGGGAUCUGGAAUUCCUGGUGUAGCGGUGGAAUGCGCAGAUAUCUGGAGGAACACCGGUGGCGAAGGCGGCAUCCUGGACCGGUAUUGACGCUGAGGCGCGAAAGCCAGGGGAGCAAACGGG